AGUAUAUAAGUGUCUAGCACAGUCCUUGGCACAUAGAAAGUGCUCUGUAAACAGUACUUCGCAUCAAAUUCUUGGGAUGAAUGAAAGUGAGUGCCUGGCGCUGCACAUAAGAAAAGACGUGGCAGCAAACCAUCCUCCCGACAUGACGUGCUGCGUUGGUGCGUUUACGUCCCUGUUCCUUCUGAAAGACUCAAAAUUGUGUUGGAGCUACUGGUGCACCUUUGUAAGACCUGCACUAACGACCGCGCCACUGGGAAGGGCACUUCUUUAUGAAGUCGCCGUAUUCCCAGGGAGACUGGUCAACCCAUACAAUGUGAAAAAAAAAGAAGCUAUGUGAAAAAAUAUUCCCCUUUGUCAUAGAGAAGGAGAACUUGGUGAGGCUGGGCAGCUGCAGGAGCCUCAGUUUUUCAGAUAACAGAACAGAGUAGACCUUGAGGGUCCAUUUCCCUUUUUGUUUUAGGAAGUGCUGUAGAAGGGGGCAAAGAGAUCUUUGAUAUGAGAAGGUAUUUCUUCAAAGCAGCAUCGUGCCUGAAAUAGCAUUGUUCUUUACGCUGAGAGAGGAGGAAAUGGGAAUUUGGUGUUCAACGGGUUUAAAGUUUCAGUUACAAGAAAUGGACAAGUCCGAGAGCUCUGCUGUGCCACAUCAUGCCUAAAGUCACCGAGACUGUGUUGUACACUUUUUUGUUAAAAGGUAAAUCUCAUGUUAAAUGUUGUUACUACAAUUAAAAAGAAGCCCUAGGCUGUGUUUGCAGAAAGGCACUAACCAUACAUGUGCUCAAGAGCCCUUUUGUGUUUUCUUCACUUCAUGUUGUAGUUCAAUUUAGUUUUGCUUUGCAAGGAUCCUCGGAAAGUGUAUCAUCAGCAAUGACUUUUAUUUUAGAACUAAAUGUGAACCACGGGGGGAAUCAUGAUCGACAUUGCUCGUUGUCCUUUCUUCCUCCCUGUGGGCUGUGAAUCCAACUCGUCCUGGGAGCAGGGCGCUCUCGCCUUCUGUUCCUCUCCGAGCUCAGUGCACAGAAGCAUUCUGCUUACCCAGCUGGGACUGCUGACUGCACCAUCGAGCACGCAGGUUGCACUGUUCUCAGCAGCUACACUGGAUUAUAUGCCGCCUUUCUUACUGACUGAUUAUGAACUUAAAACAAAUUCACUCUGCUGCUGUGAAUUAUACAUUUAUUUUUAAGCAUUUAUUUCAACUCGAGAUGAGCGGUCUCUCCUGUAAAUUUCUCCCUGCUGGAUCUUUGCUCUGGUUUCUGGUGACAUAGUGUGAGUGCCGGCAGCCGCGAGCCUCAGAAGGAAAAUUACAAAGGGAAUACUCAGUAAAUGAUGUAUUGCCUUUCGCAUCAGUAGCCUGCUUGGAAAUGUUCAAAUUAUCAGCCCAGGAGACUCCAGUGCUGUGGACAUGGGUCUGAACGAAUUGAUCACCUAGGGGCUACUGAGAACGCGGUGCUCUGUAAGUAUCCAUGGAUGCACAGCGCAGACGCGGAAAGGGAUCCCCAGAAUGUUCCUUCUGUUGCUGGUUUAGAUUGUGAGGAAAAAAUGCAUUUUCCAUGAGUCUUUAACUUAGUAUUAAAUGUUGUUACUGGUUGAUAA
Molecule: long non-coding RNA, 1590 nt
Filed under: Homo sapiens (human)
Lineage: Eukaryota; Metazoa; Chordata; Mammalia; Primates; Hominidae
Description: non-protein coding lnc-FOXI2-2:1
Source: RNAcentral